AAUGAACGUUGGCGGCGUGGAUUAGGCAUGCAAGUCGAGGGAGAACCCCGCAAGGGGGGACACCGGCGAACGGGGUAGGAUCACCUCGGUGACGUACCCUCAGGACGGGGAUAGCGGCGGGAAACUGCCGGUAAUACCCGAUGACCUGGCAGGACUUUAAGGCCUGUCAGCAAAGGUGAGAUUCCGCCUGAGGACCGGCUGAGGCGCUAUUAGCUAGUUGGUGAGGUCACGGCUCACCAAGGCGACGAUGGCUAGGGGGUGUGAGAGCAUGGCCCCCACCACUGGCACUGAGACACUGGCCAGACACCUACGGGUGGCUGCAGUCGAGAAUCUUCGGCAAUGGGCGCAAGCCUGACCGAGCGACGCCGCGUGCGGGAUGAAGGUCUUCGGAUUGUAAACCGCUGUCGGGAGGGAUGAAGUGCGCGGGGGUU
RNAcentral lists this ribosomal RNA (431 nucleotides) under uncultured bacterium. RNAcentral's name for it is "bacterial SSU rRNA". It matches the Rfam family "Bacterial small subunit ribosomal RNA", at positions 28 to 462 of the family's 1533-position model. The record is from RNAcentral.